RNAcentral lists this ribosomal RNA (301 nucleotides) under uncultured bacterium. Its description in RNAcentral is "partial 16S ribosomal RNA". It matches the Rfam family "Bacterial small subunit ribosomal RNA", at positions 509 to 807 of the family's 1533-position model. The record is from RNAcentral.
CAGUCGCCGCGGUAAUACGUAGGUGGCAAGCGUUGUCCGGAAUUAUUGGGCGUAAAGGGCUCGCAGGCGGUUACUUAAGUCUGAUGUGAAAGCCCCCGGCUCAACCGGGGAGGGUCAUUGGAAACUGGGAAACUUGAGUGCAGAAGAGGAGAGUGGAAUUCCACGUGUAGCGGUGAAAUGCGUAGAGAUGUGGAGGAACACCAGUGGCGAAGGCGACUCUCUGGUCUGUAACUGACGCUGAGGAGCGAAAGCGUGGGGAGCGAACAGGAUUAGAUACCCCCGUAGUCCCUGUCUCUUAUAC